GAUCAUGGCUCAGGAUGGACGCUAGCUACAGGCUUAACACAUGCAAGUCGAGGGGCAGCAUGGUCUUAGCUUGCUAAGGCCGAUGGCGACCGGCGCACGGGUGAGUAACACGUAUCCGAACCUGCCGUCUACUCUUGGACAGCCUUCUGAAAGGAAGAUUAAUACAAGAUGGCAUCAUGAGUCCGCAUGUUCACAUGAUUAAAGGUAUUCUGGUAGACGAUGGGG
This 225-nucleotide ribosomal RNA is filed under the name uncultured bacterium. Its description in RNAcentral is "partial 16S ribosomal RNA". It matches the Rfam family "Bacterial small subunit ribosomal RNA", at positions 15 to 230 of the family's 1533-position model. The record is from RNAcentral.